UCCCUACGGGACGCAGCAGUGAGGAAUAUUGGUCAAUGGGAGAGAUCCUGAACCAGCCAAGCCGCGUGAGGGAAGACGGCCCUAUGGGUUGUAAACCUCUUUUGUCGGAGAACAAAACCCGGGACGAGUCCCGGACUGCGUGUAUCCGAAGAAAAAGCAUCGGCUAACUCCGUGCCAGCAGCCGCGGUAAUACGGAGGAUGCGAGCGUUAUCCGGAUUUAUUGGGUUUAAAGGGUGCGUAGGCGGGCUUUUAAGUCAGCGGUAAAAAUUCGGGGCUCAACCCCGUCCGGCCGUUGAAACU
This 300-nucleotide ribosomal RNA is filed under the name uncultured bacterium. Its description in RNAcentral is "bacterial SSU rRNA". It matches the Rfam family "Bacterial small subunit ribosomal RNA", at positions 337 to 634 of the family's 1533-position model. The record is from RNAcentral.